Molecule: ribosomal RNA, 301 nt
Filed under: uncultured bacterium
Lineage: Bacteria
Description: partial 16S ribosomal RNA
Rfam family: Bacterial small subunit ribosomal RNA
Source: RNAcentral
CAGCAGCCGCGGGAAUACAGAGGUCCCGAGCGUUGUUCGGAUUCACUGGGCGUAAAGGGUGUGUAGGAGGUUGGAUAAGUCAGGUGUGAAAUCCCGCAGCUCAACUGCGGAACUGCAUUCGAUACUGUUCAACUAGAGGAUCGGAGGGGGAAGCGGAAUUCUUGGUGUAGCGGUGGAAUGCGCAGAUAUCAGGAGGAACACCGAUGGCGAAGGCAGAUCUCUGGGCCGUAACUGACGCUGAGGAGCGAAAGCAUGGGGAGCGAACAGGAUUAGAUACCCCAGUAGUCCCUGUCUCUUAUAC